Molecule: ribosomal RNA, 253 nt
Filed under: uncultured bacterium
Lineage: Bacteria
Description: partial 16S ribosomal RNA
Rfam family: Bacterial small subunit ribosomal RNA
Source: RNAcentral
UACGAGGGGGGCGAGCGUUGUUCGGAAUUAUUGGGCGUAAAGGGCGCGUAGGCGGUGCGGUAAGUCACCUGUGAAACCUCUGGGCUUAACUCAGAGCCUGCAGGCGAAACUGCCGUGCUGGAGUGUGGGAGAGGUGCGUGGAAUUCCCGGUGUAGCGGUGAAAUGCGUAGAUAUCGAGAGGAACACCGGUGGCGAAGGCGGCGAUCUGGACGGUGACUGACGCUGAGACGCGAAAGCGUGGGGAGCGAACAGG